Molecule: small nucleolar RNA, 84 nt
Organism: Cervus hanglu yarkandensis (Yarkand deer)
Lineage: Eukaryota; Metazoa; Chordata; Mammalia; Artiodactyla; Cervidae
Gene: SNORD14
Rfam family: Small nucleolar RNA SNORD14
About the family: U14 small nucleolar RNA (U14 snoRNA) is required for early cleavages of eukaryotic precursor rRNAs. In yeasts, this molecule possess a stem-loop region (known as the Y-domain) which is essential for function.
Source: Ensembl
UCACAGUGAUGAAUGGUCCAAAACAUUCGCGGUUUCCACCAGAACACUAGGUGUUGGCAAUUCCUUCCUUGGAUGUCUGAGUGA